RNAcentral lists this ribosomal RNA (1074 nucleotides) under Triticum aestivum (bread wheat). Its description in RNAcentral is "partial small subunit ribosomal RNA". The record is from RNAcentral. Lineage: Eukaryota; Viridiplantae; Streptophyta; Magnoliopsida; Poales; Poaceae.
AUGGCCAACGUAGUCCUCAACUUCAACGCGUUCCUAGAGAAAACCAAGCUGAAAGACGAUGGCAGCAACUACACGGACUGGGUCCGGAACCUGAGGAUCAUCCUCAUAGCUGCCAAGAAAGAUUAUGUCCUACAAGCAUCGCUGGGUGACGCACAUGUUCUCCCUGCAGAAGAAGACGUUAUGAACGCUUGGCAGGCACGUACCGAUGACUACUCCCUCGUUCAGUGCGGCAUGCUUUACAGCUUAGAGCCGGGGCUCCAAAAGCGUUUUGAGAGACACGGAGCAUAUGAGAUGUUCGAAGAGCUGAAAAUGGUUUUCCAAGCUCAUGCCCGGGUCGAGAGCUAUCAAGUCUCCGACAAGUUCUUCAGCUGUAAGAUGGAGAAAAACAGUUCUGUCAGUGAGCACAUACUCACUAUGUCUGGGUUACAUAACCGCUUGACUCAGCUGGGAGUUAAUCUCCCGAAUGACGCGGUCAUUGACAGAAUCCUUCAGUCGAUUCCACCGAGCUACAAGAGCUUUGUGAUGAACUUCAAUAUGCAGGGGAUGAAAAAGACCAUUCCUGAAGUAUUUGCAAUGCUGAAAUCAGCAGAGGUAGAAGUCAAAAAGGAACAUCAAGUGUUAAUGGUGAAUAAAACCACUAAGUUCAAGAAGGGUAAGGGUAAGAAAGCCUUCAAGAAGGACGGCAAGGGAGUUUCCGCGCCCGGCAAGCAAGCUGCUGGAAAGAAGCCAAAGAAUGGACCCAAGCCUGAGACUGGGUGCUUUUAUUGCAAGGAAAGUAGUCACUGGAAGCGAAACUGCCCCAAAUACUUAGCGGACAAGAAGGCCGGCAAAACGAAAGGUAUAUGUGAUAUACAUGUAAUUGAUGUGUACCUUAAGUGUACUCGUAGUAGCUCCUGGGUAUUUGAUACCGGUGCAGUUACUCACAUUUGUACUCAAAGCAGGAGCUGCGGAAUAGGGGAGACUGGCGAAGGACGAGGUGACGAUGCGCGUCGGGAAUGGUUCCAAGGUCGAUGUGAUCGCCGUCGGCACGCUACCUCUACAUUUACCUACGGGAUUAGUUUUGAACCUCAAUAA